Molecule: long non-coding RNA, 2422 nt
Filed under: Lathyrus oleraceus (garden pea)
Lineage: Eukaryota; Viridiplantae; Streptophyta; Magnoliopsida; Fabales; Fabaceae
Description: Pisum sativum (pea) long non-coding RNA (PSAT_LNC031961)
Source: RNAcentral
AUAUGAAAAACUAAAUUUAUUUCAUAGUACCUCUGUUACAAUAUAUGAAAAACUAAAUUUAUUUCAUAGUAGAUGUUUGUGACAAAAAUACCAUUACAUAAACAGUAACACAAAUAAUUAUAACAAAUACAAUACAAGAACUAUGUGAUUACAAUCAUCAAAACAAUUUUGAAUAUGUAAUGCAUCAUCAUACGAGCGUCUUGGUCGGUCUUAAUAUCCACCCAUUCACGCACUUCUACGUUUUGGUUGAACGUGGACACAAGCCAUUGUAUUCUUCUAAUCCGUUCACCCUCUCAAAUUUCUCCCUCUAACCAAUUGUACAACGUCCGAUUAAGACGUUCAAACGUACCUGUGUUCCAAAGUCGAACCUGUAUCGGAGCCGCAACAGCAGAAAAUAUUACAUAAGCAUUUCGUUUCUGAAUGUAUGCAGACAUUGUUGAAAUAGAGAGAAUUGAAAUUGAUGGUUGAACUAGACAACUUAUGGUAUUAGGAGAUUAAUUUGAAUGAAAAUAAUUGUAUACAAGACCCGGUAUUUAUAGAAACUGAACAUCUAUUGGACAAACCACGUGAGCGCCAGAUGAAUUGGCACCCACAUGACCAUCACAUGCAGGCGCCAGAUGAAUUGGCGCCCACCAUGCAAAAUGCACUCAGGCGCCAGAGGCAUUGGCGCCUCCUCAUGAGGGCCAAUGCAGGCGCCACAAGCAUUGGCGCCUCCUCAUGAGGCCCAAUGCAUGUGCCAAUGCUCCUGACGCCUACUCUUAUUGGUAUGGGGGUGUGUCAUUUCAUCUGGCGCAUCCUCUACCAAAUUUGGUUAUUUUGGUAUUUCUUUUUGAAAAAUUGAUUAUUUUCGAUUUGUUUUUGAAAAAAUCGGUUAUUUUGAAAAAAAAAUCAAAAGAUCCAAUCUGAUCAAAUCGAAUUUAAUGCAAUUUAAUUUAGAUCAGCUUUUAAAUAUUAAAAUAUUAAAUUAUAUUUUUAUUAAUAUUAUAAAAAUACUAAUAAAUUAUAGGUUUGAUAUAGUAUAUAAUAUAUAAAUAAUAAAAGUUAAUAUUAUAAUAUGAGAAUUACCGAUUAUGAUUGAAAUAAAUAAAGUAAUAAAAAUAAAUAGCUUAGACAAAAUUAAAAAAUAAUAUUAAAAAAUAUAAUUUUAUCAAAUAAUAAAUUGAUAUAAUGUAUUUCAUACUAAUAUAUAUAUAUUAUAUAUAUAUAUAUAUAUGGUUUCAUUUGAUUUGUAUCUAUUUGGAAAAAUGAUCUGAAAUCUGAUAUGAACCGAACGAUUUUAUAAAAUGACAUUCAAACACAAAAAAUUUAAAAAUGACAAAAAAAAUAUAAUUUUUAAAAUGAAACAUCAAAAUUUAAAAAGUAAAACAGAAGGAUCAGAAUUACAAUCAAAUAAAAAUUUUAAAACAAACACGGUCUACUUUAAACUAUGAGAAAUAAAAGAUUCUUGUCUUUGUCUUGUCAUUUAUGUAUUUAUAAAUAUAUUAAAAAUCUAAAUUACAUAUCAUAUGUAUCUUAUUACAUUAUCUUGUAAACUAGUAUUAAAGUUCAAGUCUAGUUAUUAUUAAUGAUAUUUUAAAUAUACAAUAAAUUUAGAAUCAAAAUAAAUCAUUAAUUUAUAUAAUCAUGUAUUACAUUUAAAUUAUGCAAUGACUAUGUUGUUUGUAGUAUCUUGUAUGAGAGAACUAAGGUAAGAAACUCCUAUAAUAUUAUAAUACACUUUUGAAAAUUUCAUAAAAUUUUAAAAGAAAGAAAUUUAGAUUAACAUUUGAAGUAAAUUGUAAAAGUGGACAUACAAAUAAAACUAUAUGCUUUAAAAUAACAUAAUUAUAAUGAUUUUGACGAGAAUAACUUAAUUAUUACACUUUUAUUUGAUAUAUACUCAAUUAUUAUUGUAUCUCGGACUCACAAUAAUUAUUAACGCACUUCAUAAUCGGAGGCAAAAAUGCCUCUGGACAAUCAUCGUCCUUUUCACAGGGCAUUCGAGCUGCAUUUACAAAAAUAAAAAAAGUGUUACUAAAAGAUGAAAUAUGUAUAAAAUCAUAAAUUAAAAAAUUUAAAAAUAGUGUGAAAAAUAACAACUUCUGCUUGUUAUAACAAGAAAUAGGGAAAGGAAGAUGAUCAAAGCAUAAACAAAUGUGAGAAGUUGAACCAUAAUUUCUUCCUUUGCAUGCAGUACUUAUAAAUUUUGAUUAUGUUAUAAGUAAUAAUUGUAUUCUUUGUUAACUUUAAUAAAAUAUUUUUUAACACUAAAGAGUUGUAAGAAGCAAUUUAUAAUUGAAAUUAAUAUUAAAUGUCUCUAAUCAAUAUGUCAUGAAUACCCCUUUAGUUCACUCAUAUGAUCACUUGAAUUAAAUAAAGAUCUCACAUGAAAUAUAUAUUUUUAGUAUAUACUUUAGCCUUUCAUAAAAUAUAGAGAUAAAAU